Molecule: long non-coding RNA, 830 nt
Organism: Psammomys obesus (fat sand rat)
Lineage: Eukaryota; Metazoa; Chordata; Mammalia; Rodentia; Muridae
Exons: 3
Source: RefSeq, a predicted model, not a curated record
UGGAGAGACCAGGAGACCCGGCAGUGUGGCUGUUUGGAGCAGACAGAGAACUGCUUUGGGGCAUAGCGGUUUGAAGAAAACUGCAGGCUGCAUUUCUGUUGACUGAGAUGGGCAUAUAGCCCUACAAGAACCCCUUGACCCUAAACAUCUGGGAGAGGACUUCAUGGUCUUGGGAGUAGAAGUGCAUCAGGAGGAACCCAGGGUGCACCGUUCUACAGCCAUCCCUCCGGGCGUCCCGUCUUGCUCAUGGUGCGUGCGUGCUGCUGUGCCUACUGCGUGCUGGUCCUUACUUGUACGUUUAAGUUAAACCAUUCCAUACAUUUGAAAAACAGCUUCAACUUUACCUUCAAGGCCUGAAAGGGAAGGUAUUCCAAAGGAAAACCUGUCACAAAACUCUUGACUCACAAGAAAGAAGACACAUGGACCAGCAUGUUACACUGUUCCAGAGAGAUCCACGCUGCUGCAGAGAGGAAGGCAGGAAACGCCCCAACACCAGAAGACCCUGCAGUUCCUACCUUGGAGGUUAUCUGUGCUGGUUUGGGGAAUCUUCCCACCUUGGCAUUUAAAACUGAGCAAUGAAAUCCUGUGUCUCCUGCCCCGAGGUUUAUCUGGCAUUCUGAAGCAGUCUAGACCCCAAAAUCUCACCAUAUAGACCUGGCUUCAAACUUACAGAGAUGCCGCUGCCUCUGUGAUAAAGAAGUGUACCACUCUGGCUUCUAAGUCUUUUUUUUUUUUUUUAAUUUAUGUAUGUGUGUGUGUGUCCUUGGAUAUCCGUGGAGAGGAGAAGAAGGCCUCAGAUGCCUGCGCUGGAGUUAUGGAGGUAUAAGCUG